RNAcentral lists this unclassified non-coding RNA (170 nucleotides) under uncultured Lecythophora. RNAcentral describes it as "sequence contains ITS1". The record is from RNAcentral. Lineage: Eukaryota; Fungi; Ascomycota; Sordariomycetes; Coniochaetales.
CCAGAGCUCUCUCGCGAGACUCCCAAACCAUUGUGAACCUUACCCCCGUACGCGUUGCUUCGGCGGGCGUCCCCUCCCCGGAGGGGACGCGGCCCCUCGGGGUGCCCGCCGGCGGCCGACCAACACUCUUGAUAUCCCAGUGGACUCUCUGAGAAAAAAACCAUAAGUUA